AUUGAACGCUGGCUGCAGGCCUAACACAUGCAAGUCGAGCGGAUGAAGGGAGCUUGCUCCUGGAUUCAGCGGCGGACGGGUGAGUAAUGCCUAGGAAUCUGCCUGGUAGUGGGGGAUAACGUCCGGAAACGGGCGCUAAUACCGCAUACGUCCUGAGGGAGAAAGUGGGGGAUCUUCGGACCUCACGCUAUCAGAUGAGCCUAGGUCGGAUUAGCUAGUUGGUGGGGUAAAGGCCUACCAAGGCGACGAUCCGUAACUGGUCUGAGAGGAUGAUCAGUCACACUGGAACUGAGACACGGUCCAGACUCCUACGGGAGGCAGCAGUGGGGAAUAUUGGGCAAUGGGCGAAAGCCUGAUCCAGCCAUGCCGCGUGUGUGAAGAAGGUCUUCGGAUUGUAAAGCACUUUAAGUUGGGAGGAAGGGCAGUAAGCUAAUACCUUGCUGUUUUGACGUUACCAACAGAAUAAGCACCGGCUAACUUCGUG
This 484-nucleotide ribosomal RNA is filed under the name uncultured bacterium. RNAcentral's name for it is "partial 16S ribosomal RNA". It matches the Rfam family "Bacterial small subunit ribosomal RNA", at positions 30 to 507 of the family's 1533-position model. The record is from RNAcentral.